GCCGGGCCGCCCCCGCCGCCGCGCCCGCCCCGCCUCAGCCCAGCGCCCCGACCGCUCACGCCAUGCGGCUCUGGGUGCUCCUCAGCCUGCUGCUGCUGCAGGACGCGCUGCCGCACGUUAUCGGACAGUCUGCAAAAAAUAAGCAUCCAAAAGAACCAGGGGAAAACAAAAUUAGGCCUGUCAAUAAAAAAGUAAAACCCAAAGGCCCCAAAAUGAAGGAGAGGGAAUCUGCUGACUCCCCUUCCAAGUCACAGUCCAUACUGAUGCAGGUGAUGGAUAAAGGUCGCUUCCAGAAGCUCGCUGCCACUUUGAGCCUGUCUGCGGGACAAAGCAUAGAACUGCGCUGCAAGGGGAGCAAUGUUACUUGGAGCUAUCCUUCGUACCUAGACACCUUCAAAGACUCUAGACUCAGUUUAAAGCAGCUUGACAGGUACAGUCAGCUGAUCCUCACAAACUCCACUGCAGCAGACACUGGUGAAUAUAGCUGCUGGCUGCAGCUAUGCAAUGGUAACAAAUGCAAGAAGGAUGAGACUAAAACAGGUUCAACGUACAUCUUUUUCACAGAUAAAGAGGAACUUUUUGUACCUACUCCCAGUUAUUUUGAGAUUGUCUACCUGAACCCAGAUAAACCUGCAGUCAUUCCAUGCCGUGUUACUACUCCUUCAGCAAAAGUAACUCUACACAGGGAAUUUCCAGCAGAAGAAAUUGAAACUGAUGGAACUAAUAUUAUUUAUGAUGUUAAGAAGGGUUUUGUCUACCAGCACCCUACUUCUGAUCACAAAGGUAUUGUCUACUGCAAAGCAGAGUCACAGGGAGCACCUCAGAUUUCCAUCAAGUAUCACCUGCUCUAUGUGGAAGUCCCCAAGGGCCCACCCUCAACCACAAUCGUGGCAUCACCCAAUAGAGCAGAAGUCAGUGAUGGCGUUCAUGUAAUCUGCACUGUUCUUGGGGAGCCAGAUGCAGAUGUGAGCUUCAGCUGGCAGUACCCAGGGCAAGAGUCUGAGAGGCCUGUGAUUAUCCAAAACUUCUGGAGACUAAUAAACAGAGGAACUGGACAUACCACAAGAAUCUCAAAGAGCAUUCUUGUUAUUGAAAAUUUUGAAGCCAGAGAUGCUGGAAACUACAUUUGUAUAGCUCAGAACCUACAAGGAGAAACAACUGUGGCCACUAAAGUGGAACUGAACUGACAGGAAAGGCUUCUGGACCCAUAAUGAACUGUAUGUUAUUUUACAUUUUAACCAGUUAGUUUUUUAUUCAUGUUUAAAUGAAAAUUUUCUCUAUCACCUUCUUUUUGUCUGUCCACACAUUCCAUUUUCACUAGCUUGACAGGCCAAACAUCUGGCAGUAGUCAAUUAUGAGUUAAAAAUACUAUAAAGUGUUAAACUUUAAGCCUGAACAUGCACAGGGCUUAUAAUGUUUAGGAAUAGGUGCUCUUGAGCUUUGCAUAUGGUCUUUUUCUCAAACUCCUACAAGAUUAACCUGCCGUAUGGUUUGUGCCUUCUUCCUCUGUGAAAACUGAGAGGAUAUAAAAACUCCACCAGUGCAGGCAUCUCUCUUUCUGGUGCUGUGCAAUUUUUAAAGUUUAGAAUACUGUACAUGAUUAAAAAAAUCAUAUAGAACUAGCCAAUAGCAAUGUUUAUUUUGUAAGAAUAAUUAAAAUAAUUAACAGUAUAAAACAGUAAACGUGUACAUGUGUGUGUUCAUUUUUCCUAUGUAUAAGGAUACAAACCACAAUAUUCUUAGUCCUGGGGAAGACUAGUAAUAAAUAUUAAAGUAUUAGAGGGUGUCUCCGGAGACUUGUAAGUGGUUGAAUACGUUAGAUUUUUUUGCUCAUGUUGUAGCAUUCUUACAACUUUGUAGUUUUGUUUACAGUUCAUUCCUCAAUAGAUGUAGUAAUGUAGCAUUGUUUUUGUUUGCUAAAAGUAACAAUUGCAUUUAUUUAUACAGUAUCAUUUACAGAAGAAAAAAAUGAUUAGAAUAAUGUUCGAUUAUACAGCAGAUCUCUUCUCAGGUUAAGUUUAAUUUGAUUGCAUUAAUUUACCUCGGAGGAAAGGAAAGAUGUUUGAUUUACACAACAGUAUCUGGAUAAACAAUCAACUGCUUCUCUCACCAUGAAUUAAGUUCCCACUGCAAGGAAAGAGCCUUUCCAGAGAAAAGGCAGCCCAAAGUUAUUUCCUUGUUGUCAGGCAACUGCAGUUUUGAAGAGCAGUGGUUACUUGCUGUCUAGAAGGAAUUUCCUGCACAAAUGGCCUGAUACCAGGUUACAUGCAAGUAUCCGUGGUGUUUGUCAUGAAAAACCAGUCUUCAAUUAGCAUAAGGAAAUGAUUCAGCUCAAGUUUUACUGCAAGUGUGGUGUAACUCAAAAAACACACACUUUUAGAGAAAAGUAUUGCAGUGGCAUGAAACGUGUUAUGGAUAGUUUGAAAUGACAGACUAUGUGGUACAGUUACAAGUGUCACUGACUUCCUAUGAAACUUAUCAUUUGAGAUAGUUAAGGUGGAGUAGC
Oxyura jamaicensis (ruddy duck) is the source of this 2506-nucleotide RNA transcript. It is a transcript of the gene named platelet derived growth factor receptor like, with no coding region annotated. The transcript has 7 exons. Lineage: Eukaryota; Metazoa; Chordata; Aves; Anseriformes; Anatidae. The record is from RefSeq and is a predicted model, not a curated record.